This 439-nucleotide small RNA is filed under the name Pan troglodytes (chimpanzee). RNAcentral's name for it is "processed transcript". The record is from RNAcentral. Lineage: Eukaryota; Metazoa; Chordata; Mammalia; Primates; Hominidae.
GAAGAAGCAGUAAACAGUUGGGAAAUGCAGUCACUACCUGAGUAUAAGGAUAAAAAGGGAUAUUCACCCCUUGGUCUGCUGGAGUUUGCUGGAGGCCCACUCCAGAUGCUGUUUGCCUGGGUAUCACCAGCAGAGGCUGCAGAACAGCAAAGAUUGCUGCCUGUUCCUUCCUCUGGAAGCUUCAUCCCAGAGGGGCACCCACUAGAUGCCAGCCAGAGCUUUCCUGUAUGAGUGACAAGGGAAUUCUAAAUUGAUACACCAUCAGGAUUCACCCUCAAGAUUCAACUUCAACAUUUUUCAAAGUCCUUCAAUAAGAAGGUAAAACUCAGUUUCAAGUUUCUUUGUCAACAACAACCUUUACUCCUAUUACCAAGAAUUUCUAUUCAACAAACUGCAAAGCAGUUAUAAAAGUAAUAAAGGUAAAAAAGUGGUACCAUGA